AACGAACGCUGGCGGCAGGCUUAACACAUGCAAGUCGAACGCACCUUUCGGGGUGAUUGGCCGACGGGUGAGUAACGCGUGGGAAUCUACCCUUCUCUACGGGAUAGCUCCGGGAAACUGGAAUUAAUACCGUAUCCGUCCUGAGGGCGAAAGAUUUAUCGGGGAAGGAUGAGCCCGCGUUGGAUUCGCUAGUUGGUGGGGUAAAGGCCUACCAAGGCGACGAUCCAUAGCUGGUCUAAGAGGAUGAUCAGCCACAUUGGGACUGAGACACGGCCCAAACUCCUACGGGAGGCAGCAGUGGGGAAUAUUGGACAAUGGGCGCAAGAAUGAGGCAGCCAGGCUGCGAGAGAGAUGAAGGCCGGAGGGUUGGAAAGCUCUUUAAGCGGGGACGAUAAUGACGGUACCCAAAGAAGAAGCCCCGGCUAACUUCGUG
RNAcentral lists this ribosomal RNA (433 nucleotides) under uncultured bacterium. RNAcentral describes it as "partial 16S ribosomal RNA". It matches the Rfam family "Bacterial small subunit ribosomal RNA", at positions 29 to 507 of the family's 1533-position model. The record is from RNAcentral.